Molecule: unclassified non-coding RNA, 9493 nt
Filed under: Leishmania donovani
Lineage: Eukaryota; Euglenozoa; Kinetoplastea; Trypanosomatida; Trypanosomatidae
Description: gene:LdHU3.21.1510(CDS-product:kinesin_putative)
Source: RNAcentral
UGGUGCGCCCUUCGCUCCCUUUUAUUUGUUCUCUCUCUCACGCUUACUCCGCUCUGUAUGCACCCACACACUCACGUAUGCGCACACGAACGCCCGCACACGCACUCGAACCGUGUCUGCAGCAACUCAAGGUGAAGCGAGGUAUCCUGGUGGUAGUCCACAUAGAGGCAUAACACGUCCUGCAUGCUGCGAUCGCCGCUGCCGCCGCCUUUCAUCUCUUUCCCCUUUUCUGAUCAGCGAAGAGCAGGGGGCGCGCUCGGCACGUGCCAUUCAGCUUGCGUCCUUCCGACCGCUGCCGUCAUUGAUCUCCCCGACAUUGGUCGAUAUAUAUAAUAUAUAUAUAAUAUAUAUUAUAUAUAUAUAUAUUAUAUACGCGCACAUACCCAUACAGGUAAUUAGAAAAAGGCGGUUGCUCUUCAUCUCUCCUACACGCACUCUCUUCCUUUGUAGCCGGUUUCGCUCUCACUGUACUUCCCUUUGGUUUCUCUCUCUGUGUGCGUGUGCGCACGUCACCAGACUUGCCUUCUCGCUGCGCCGCCAUCUUUGGCGUUGUUCGUCUUUUGGCUACCGCACGUAGAGCUCUCGUUUUACUCGUUGAUUCCACUUCCUUUUUUUUUUCUGUGCUUAUUCAACGGCUGCGCGCCUGUCUUUACUCUCUCCUGCGCUUCGCCACGCACCCACCGCACUCACCUCCCGGAGGGACAUCUCUCAAUCACCAUGGGUCGUGGUGCAGCUCAAGAGGUAUACCCUGAUGACGGGCACAUCUUUGUGUGCGUGCGCAUCCGAAAUGUGCCACAGAAUGCGGCGUGCUUAACCAAUAACGGCGGUGCUGCGACGAACACCCGCUCCUCCACGGUCGCGCGCAAGUCAGUGCUGCGCGAGGCGCAGCGGAUUUGCGUAUCUGUGGUGGAAAAUGUGGUGGUGAUGCAUGAUCCCACGUCGAUCGACGACACCGCUACUGUCGCGAAGGACGGCAACAACGUCGUGCAGAUGCUGACCGACCGCGCGAACCAUGCUGGCGCUGCUCGAAACUCUCGCAAAACCGCUGGUGGUGGCGGCGCGGCUGCCGGCGCGUCAGGCAUCAGUUCCCGCCGGACCGUAGGUGGCGCUCGCGCUACCACUGCCGGCGACGCCCGCCUCGUGUCCACCAGCACCGCCAAUUACUACGAGUGCGACUAUUGCAUCGCAUCGAUGGAAGAGUCGCAGCUGCUGCAGAUGCCGUUGAUUCGCACAAGUGACUUCCUUCAGCCGCCGCCGUACGGGACGCAGGAGGAGGUGUACCAGCGCACCGCGAUGCACGCCGUCAAGGCCGCCAUAGACGGCAUCAAUUCGUGCGUCUUCGCCUACGGCCAGACGGGCAGUGGCAAGACCUACACGCUCUUCGGCGACACGACGAACAUUCGCCGUGACCCCGGCGUUGUGCCGCGCACUCUGGACGACUUGUUUGGCCGCCUGGAGGCGGUGAAGCAGUCGUACCGGAGCGACAAGGUGACAGACUACUCGUACCUUGUGCACCUCUCCUUCUACGAGAUCUACCAGAACGAGGUUUAUUGUCUCUUCUCUCGCCAGGGCCCACUGCGUGUGCAGUUCGUCCGAGAUCUGACGGGGAAGAGGGAGACGAUGAUCAUCCACGACCUGCAGCAGCAGACGGUGACCUCGGCCGAGAAGGCAUACCCGAUGAUCGAGAUGGGUCUGCGCCGGCGGCAGACCGCCGAGACGGGUAUGAAUGCACACAGCAGUCGCAGCCACGCCAUUCUGCAGAUCCGCGUCGCCCAGUACCGCACCAACCGUGACGCGCGAGAGACUGUGGAGCACCAGGCGACGAUCAACCUGGUGGACCUCGCUGGCAGCGAGCGGCAAAAGACGGCGAACACAAGCGGGACGAACCGUGCGGAGGGCAUUCAGAUUAACCAGUCACUCGCCACUCUGGCACGCGUCAUCAACGACAUCGCGAGCGGGGCGAGGUUUGUGAACUACCGCGACUCGUUGUUGACGAUGGUUCUCAAGGACAACCUUGGUGGCAACAGCAAGACGUUUAUGAUCGCCAACAUCUCGCCCAUCGCCUUCAGCUACCAGGAAUCCUGCGCGACCCUCACAUACGCGAAGGACGUGCGCAAGGUCCGCAACCGGCCGAUGGUGAACAAGACCUUCCAAACGCGCGCGAACCUGCUGGAGCAGAAUAUGAUGCUGAAGCAGGAGAACGAGAAGCUGAAGGUGCAGAUGGAGAUGUGGGUGAGGAGCCUGCAGAGCGGCAACCUGCACGCCUCCGUGACGGACAUGGUGGCCUUGUUGCCUGUCCUGGGAGGCGGCACGGCGGAGGCUGGCGACCAUCUGCUGCCGUCACCGCCGCUGCCGAUGGCGCAGGCUGUCGAAACCGAGCAGCGUCGUGCCGCCGAUGUACCGCUGGCCGCAGCCGGGCGCAACGAGGCCUUCCUGACCGCCAUCAGCAGCGGGCUGACAGCGCCGCUGCUAAUAUCGUCCCACCGCAAGUACACGAGCAUGGCGGGGAUCGGGGGCUCGUGCAUUGAGGGCGGCGCUGUCCGCGUCUCGGCACUGGUGAAGGAGGCGAUGGAGUUCCCGCUGAGUCAUGUGUUGCAUCCGCUGCCGACUAUGGCGGCCGGUGACACCUCGUACACCACCGACGAGGACAGCCAUGGCGCCCAGAAGCGUCACACCACCAUCCUAAUGGAUGCAGACGCGAGCUCGCUGGGGCGCGCGAGUGGUGAGGCCGCGCAACGGCCGGACGCCGCAGGGGAGGCUGCAGCGAUGGCGGGGGAGGUGAUGGGCCUGGGGUCGCUGGUGUUGGAGCGCGUGGCUCAGCGCUCAUGCGAGCAGCGGUACUAUGUCCACUUCAAGCCACCCACCACUGCUGAGGGCCUCUCGCGCCUCAUCGACGUCCAGGUCAAUGGCAAGAGCAUCGGGGCGAAGGGUCGGCGUGAACUGCACCACGGCGACGUAGUCUGCGCCUACCUCGAGGACGCGGCGAAGAUGGAGGCGGCGGCGGCGGAGACGGCGGCCAGCGCCUGUCUGCACACCCAAAGUCUCAUUUCUUUCCACUACGUCGACCUCAACGCGCUCUCGCGUGGCGCGAACGCGUCCAUGACCGGCAUGAGCAGUGCCACGCUUGGCCAAAUCGCGGUCUCGGUCGACCUUCCGGCGGACAUGGAGAACCUCACCUUGGAUGGCAUCAAGCAGUUGCAACGCGACAACGCAAAGCUGCUGGACAUGGUACGCCAGCAGGCAGAGACGAUCGACUACCAGUGCGCCCACGCCAGCACGCCGAUGAUGCAGGUGGAGGACCUGCUGGGGGGCAUCUCGCCGGCCGGCAGCCCUGGCUCCGGGUCGCCGAACCCGCGCUCGCUGGAGCCGAGCAUCUCAGCAUUGCCGCCGCCGGAGACACACAAGGUGGCCGUUGCCCUCGAAGCCUUCCGCCGCGUGUCUGUCUCCCCGUCUAUCCGCGGUGGGUCCGUCAUGCCAGCUGACCUGGAGGCGGACGAGCUGCUGCAUCGCGCGGCAACGCAGAGCGAGUCGAAACAGCGCCUCGACAACGCUGUUCGCGAGAACCAGAAGCUGCAUCGCACCGUCGUGUCGCGCAACGCCACUCUGGACGCGCUGGCGCGACGCCUUGCCGAGCUGGAGGCUGGCGGGCCGCUCAACUCGCUGACCAGCCCAUCGCCGUCCUCUUUGGCGUCUUCGUCGUCGAACACCAGUCUUUCGGCUGAUAGGGGUUACAAUGGCGAGACGCUGGCCGGCAGGCGCGCUGAUAGCGUCGAGGACGACACAGAUGUGUCGAGGCGCACAAGGGGAGACCGUGGAAGCCUCACAUGCGUGUCCUCGCCUUCACAGAUGCGCGCCGUCUCUGCGCAGCGUCGGGGCGAGGAAAUCGUCGAGGCCGACGAUGAUGACGAGCCCCGUCCGGAGCCCAUCGGAGACGGCCAGAGGCGCAUCGUGUAUGAGAACGCUGAGGGCGCACGUGAGCGCUAUCAGGCGGUGGUGCGGGAGCGAGAGCAGUUUGAUCGCAUCCUCGAGCUGGAGGCUCUCAUCGGUGAGCUGCGCGAGCGAAUCAGCGAGCUGGAGAGCCGCUUGCGCUUUUCCAAGGACGAGACGCUGGAGCAGCAGAUGUUCCGCGAGCAGGCCGAGGCGGAACGUGACGCGCUGCUCGAGGAGCUGGCGAACACGCGUUGUGAGAACUCGGCGCUGCGCCGCGAGAACGCCAGCCUCGAAGGCUUUCUUGCCAGGGAUGAGCAGGCGCUCGCGGACGCCGCGCGCCUCGCAGACGAAGAGCUGGAGCGGCAGACCGCCGUGCUGGCCGACCGUAUCAAAGCGCUCAAGGCGCUCUCCCGCAUGUGGAAGCAGCGCACCAUGAAGUACAUCGCGAUGGGCUAUGGUGCCGGCAGCGACGACAAGCACACCGGCAGCGCUGGGGCCGCGCACCUUGAAGCCAUUCCAUGGGACGACCUGCGCGCCGCAGAGACGGCUGCCAUAGCGAAGCGGCGCCUUGGUAGGGGUGACGCGGACGCCUGUCCGGUUGAUGUGGCGCAGGCCAUCGACGACUUUGAGAAGUCCACGACUGAGGACAACGUGCGCGCGCUCGAGUACGCGUUGCUCAACUUUGAGCAGGAAAACCAGCGGCUGCUGGACGAGAUCCGGCGCAUCCAGGCGGAGCUGGACGGGUACAAGGGCCUCAUUGGGCGCCUCCGGGCGGAGAAGGCGGAGACGGAGAAGACCCUGGCGGACGCGACGGACUCCACCGAGGAGGAGCGCCGCCGCAUGCAGCAACUUCUGCGCAACACCAACGCGCAGCUGGAGGAGGCGGAGGAAAAUCUGAAGCGGACGCAGGUUCGCCUGGAUGACGCGAUGGAGAUGUGCGAGAGCAAUAAGCGCAAGGCCGUGAGGAACAAUGAGUUACUGCUGUCUCAGCAGAAGCGUACUAUCGAGCAGCUGGAGGCGGAGCUGUGUCGCCUGCGUCGCGACCAUGCGGCCAAGGACGAGGAACUCACGAACCUGACGCGGUACAUGCAGGACCGUGAUGCGCUCGGCGGCGACGGCGUGGCGAAGAGCUGCGAGCUGCGCUCUCGCAUCGAGGAGCUGGUCAGCGACUCGAUGGAGGAGUACGAGGCGCCGAACGGGUACUCGGUGUUCCCUGCGGGCUUUGAGUUCUCGAACGAGAUGGUGUCACUCAUCCGCAUUUGCCUCCGUAUCUUGCUUGACCGGCUCAAGAUGGAGCUGUACGUGCUCAACGCGCAGAGCGUGCACAAAUUCCAGCUCCUGAUCCACGCUGUGAAGGCGCGCACGGAGGCGCACUUUCACACCUUCAUGCACCAGCUGCGCGACGCCGUCUCGCAGAUGUCAGGGCGCACGUUGCGGCCUGGCAGCAAGUGGGGCCUGUCCGAGUCGGACGUCCUCUCAACCCUCGUUGAUCACCGCCGCCGCCAGGUGGGCGACGCGCUGAGCGGUUUGCUAAUCUGGUAUGACCACUGGGACAACGCCCCAAAGACAGAGCAUGUCGCCUACAUGGAGCUGAUCCGCAACGCCGACCGCAUCAUGCAGAUGGCCCGCAUUGUGCGCCGCGAGAGCUUCCUGAACACGAAUGCGACGUCCACUUCGCUGAUGCCGAUCCCCGGCAAGAGCGGCACAAGUGACACCUCGCUCCUCCCAGAGUCGUCGCGCCGCAAUGAUAAGACUGUAAAGGGGAGCUGCAAGAUUCUCUCUCGCCUUGCGUCGUCCACCCGACAGAGCAACCUGGCACGCGCCGUGAAUCAGUUCUCCGCGACGCCUUCGCGAGCCACGAUCGCCGUCCGCGAGGACGUCGUCGGCGCCACGCCGUGCCCGGUGGAGCAGGGCGCGACCCCGUUCAGCCGCAGCGCAACGGUAGCGGCGCUGGCACUCUCGCAAAGCAUGAUCCCCUUUAGCAGAACAGCCACUGGAACGCACACUAGCGGGCACCAGCCGCCAUCAGCUGCGAACCUGGAGAGCUGCUCGCUCUUCAGCCGUUGUCCCUCUGGGCUUCCGCGGGUGUCCGCCACGACGGCGACGGCUACCGGCCUCUCGCCUCGGCCGAACCCGUCAACGGUCACACCUAUGCGACCCAUAAAGCAGGCCACGAGCGUCGGUGCCGCGACGCCUGCGGCUGCGCUGGCAACUGGUGCGUCACCCGCCGCUCUGACAGCAGCCGCGCGCGCCAACUACUCGCGCAUGGCCUCCGCGGGCGUGCUGCCGGUGUUGGAGGCGGAUGUGGCUUACGUGGCGAACACCGACGUUGCCGAGGCUGUGUCUAUCAGCACCUAUAACUUCUCCCGUCGCAUGAGCUCGGCGGCGGGGGCCGGUGAAGGCGCCGCAGCCGACAAGGGCGAGCCAGUGCGUCGACCGAACCGCCUCUUCUCCCGAUGCCAGACGGCGAUCCCCCAAACGCGGGACUCCAUGCAGCAGCAGCAGCGCGCACUGCGCCGCCAGAACUCUGCAACGCUGGCUUCGUCCAAGACCCACAGCAGCGCUGGUGCGACUUGUACGCGCAGGCAGGUGAGCCGUGCAAAGGCAACAGAGGCGUUUGCGAGGUCGAAGACAUACUACACAGUGCCGAAGUCGACCGCAACGCUGAGCCGACCAAGCCGCCGCAGAUCUGGCGUUCGGGUCAGCACCAACAGUAGCACUCGUAGCACCGGCAGCCUCGGCGGGGGUUCGCCGCAUGCGCGGCCAUCCUCGUCGCAGCACAAUGCGACGCGACUCUCUGCCUUCUACAGCAUUCCCCCAGCGGAGCAGGCGCGCGGAUCGGGCAAGGGACGUGCGAGCAUGCUGAGCAGCAACGCUACCACGAAGCCGUCUGCGGCAGAGAUCUCGUUCUGCAACCUGGACGUCAUGAAGUCGUUGAGGGAACGAAGCACGAGCGACGUGAACCGCCAGGUGCCAACGGGCAACAAGCCCAGCUCGAUUUCGAAUAGGGUAGAUCUCACGAAUAUCAGUAGCGUGCACCCGAGGAAGGGCAUGGCGCAGCCAGUGCCAUCGUCGACCGGUGCACGCGUGAGCGCUGGCCACGACACCACUUUGGUGAGCACCACUCCGGUGGUGCCGAGGCUCGAUUUUGGGGCCCUGGAAGGAAAGCGCUGAGGGCACUCGCGGAGAGUGGCGGCUCGAUUAUUCUUUUUGUUUUUCCUUUGUGCGUGCCCGCGUGCGCGUCUGUGGCUCAGUGGGGCGUGUCUUCCAGAAGAGGUGUGCGUGUAGGGGGGAGGGAGGGGGAGAGAGAGCGAGUGGCGCGUGGCACGUGGUGCUGUGAUCGGAAGAGAAGCACACACACACACACACACACACGCACAUACACACACACACUAAAACAAGCGAUAACCUACGGACGGGCCAUCGUUUGCCGCCACCGUUGCGAGUACGACGACCUCCUGCUUCCUCGCCUCAGCUAUUAUCCAGCUUUCCUUCUCCCUCUCCAUUUGGGGACACCAAGCACGUGUGCGCGUGUGUGCCAGGCGAGAGGGAGAUUUUGAGGCGGGGACAACAGAUACAGAGUCACGCGCACACACGCGGUGGGUCGUUUUGUUUGGUUUCGUGCUUUUUCCCUUUUCCUGUACCCACUCACGCUGUCAUGAGCACACCGUCCAUCACAUAUUUGUUUGUAUAUGUGCGUGUAUAUAUAUAUAUAUAUUUCGCCGCUUUACUUCUUGUUCGGUGCGUUGUUGUCGGGGUCUGCGUCAUUUUCCUUAGGUACGCCACAUCCCCCGGUCCACCUCCAAUGCUUUCAUGAGCCACUCUUCUCCCCCUCCUUUCCCUCCUCCACGCACACACGCACGCACACAUCGACAGGAUAACAGCAGAUAUAUAUGCGCAUGUGUGUGUGUGUGUGCGUGCGUGUGCGGGCCUCUACUUCUUUUCAUUUGUUGUUUUGUGGUGUGGCAUUGCUUACCGUUUCGUUGUACCUUUAUGUUAGAGUCCAUCGAUAAAAACGCAUGUACAUGUAUAUACAUGCAUGCCUGUAUGGGGUGUGCGCGCGCGUAUGCUCUUGUGCGCUUUUGCUGUACCUUUUUCUUUUUCUUUGCCCUCCCCCCUUUUUCUUCUCUCGCUUCAUGAUUGGCGCAUACACACACACAUAUAUAUAUAUAUAUAUAUAUAUAUAUGUGUGUGUGCGUGUGUGUGCGUGUGUGUGCGUGUGUGUGUGUGUAUGCGUAUGGGCGUGCAGGCACUUCCACCCUUGCUCAUGUGUCUUUCAUUCCUCUCCUCGAGCGCUUUUCCGCCUCUCCUCCACCACCUUCACUACUCGCCCUCGCGGCUGUUUCGGUGGCAUGCUGGUGCUUGAGCACUGUUCUCACUCAAGAUUCGCAAGCACGGACGCCAAACCCCUUCCCUGUAUUAGAUCUUCGCUUCGCACGCUUUCGCUUGGCCUUCUUCCGUUUUCACUUGUUAGUGCCUUUUCGAGUGUGUGAGCUGGCCCGAACAGGCAGAGCGCUUUAGAAUAGGAAAGGGUACUUGCAACCACUCUCCCGGCGUCUGCGAGUCUCUCUCUCCUUGUCCUUCGUCGGGCACGCUAGAUGUUCUCUCUGUGUCUAUCUUCUUCCUUUAUCUACAUGUACGCGUGCGUGUGCGUGUGCGUGUCUGUUUCGUGCGAGCCGUCACCAUCAUCACCGCCCACGCCCUCCAUUGUGCGCUCUCCGCCGCGCGCAUUUUCCUUUGUUGUUUUCUCAUUCAUUCCCGUAUUAUUAUUUUUGUUGUGUACGCUGCACACGCACACGCUCUUGUUUCCAGUCCUCGAAUCACUAAACGUCUGAAGCAUGAUCGGAGGAACCGAAGAAGCCACACCUACACGGGAGAGUGAGGGGGGUGGAGGAGGAGGAAGAGGUCCUCUUCCCCCCUCAUCCCACAGACACACUACCACACAGGGCACGAGGAUACGCGGAAAAAAAAACGAUGAAGAGCAGAGAGGCAGAGAUGCACGAGGGGUACAUGCGUAUGGAGGGAGCGAUUGAGAGACGGCACCGUCCUCAUGUUUUGCUGCUCGCUUCUCUCUUGCACCCGUCUCUUCGAUUUCCCCUCCAUUCCCCUCUCCCUCUCGUGCCGCUGCGUUUUGGAUGGUCAGAGUAGUGUGCUCGAUAUGCACAUCUCUCUGCUUGUGUGCCUGCCUGCGUGUGCUUCGAGAAGAGGAUUGUACGCCAAAUCCUCCCCUGUGCCGGCGCGCUGUCAUGCAGCUCCUUCCUGUGACAUGUGCACAUCAGCGUAUAAUUCAUGGCGCUAUCCGUCUCUCCCUCUCUCUCCCUGGCGGAUACCUCCCGACGCGUCUUCUUCAUGUCCUCUUCUCGCGCUUCUCUCUCGCUGCUCAUGCCUCGUUCAUCGCACCAUCAUCGCAAUACGUUGCCACGCGUGCAUGCAUGUACGCCCUAAAACCUUUCCGAUUCUGUUGCCCUUCUUUUUUUUUUGCCUUUCGGCACCCUUACACUCCCCUUUUUCCCGCGCGUGUGUGCGCACGUCUUUAACGCUGUCCCCCCUUUCUUUUGCUCAG